Molecule: ribosomal RNA, 253 nt
Filed under: uncultured bacterium
Lineage: Bacteria
Description: partial 16S ribosomal RNA
Rfam family: Bacterial small subunit ribosomal RNA
Source: RNAcentral
GACGUAGGGGGCUAGCGUUGCUCAGAAUCACUGGGCGUAAAGCGCACGUAGGCGGAUUGCUAAGUCAGGGGUGAAAUCCUGGAGCUCAACUCCAGAACUGCCUUUGAUACUGGCGACCUUGAGUCCGGGAGAGGUGAGUGGAACUGCGAGUGUAGAGGUGAAAUUCGUAGAUAUUCGCAAGAACACCAGUGGCGAAGGCGGCUCACUGGCCCGGUACUGACGCUGAGGUGCGAAAGCGUGGGGAGCAAACAGG